This 515-nucleotide ribosomal RNA is filed under the name uncultured bacterium. RNAcentral describes it as "partial 16S ribosomal RNA". It matches the Rfam family "Bacterial small subunit ribosomal RNA", at positions 28 to 523 of the family's 1533-position model. The record is from RNAcentral.
GAUGAACGCUGGCGGCGUGCCUAAUACAUGCAAGUCGAGCGAAUGGAUUAAGAGCUUGCUCUUAUGAAGUUAGCGGCGGACGGGUGAGUAACACGUGGGUAACCUGCCCAUAAGACUGGGAUAACUCCGGGAAACCGGGGCUAAUACCGGAUAACAUUUUGAACCGCAUGGUUCGAAAUUGAAAGGCGGCUUCGGCUGUCACUUAUGGAUAGACUCGCGUCGCAUUAGCGAGUUGGUGAGGUAACGGCUCACCAAGGCAACGAUGCGUAGCCGACCUGAGAGGGUGAUCGGCCACACUGGGACUGAGACACGGCCCAGACUCCUACGGGAGGCAGCAGUAGGGAAUCUUCCGCAAUGGACGAAAGUCUGACGGAGCAACGCCGCGUGAGUGAUGAAGGCUUUCGGGUCGUAAAACUCUGUUGUUAGGGAAGAACAAGUGCUAGUUGAAUAAGCUGGCACCUUGACGGUACCUAACCAGAAAGCCACGGCUAACUACGUGCCAGCAGCCGCCGUAA